GGGUCCGUGGCUCAGUGGUAGAGCGUGACACUGAUAAUGUCAAGGUCGGAGGUUCGAUCCCUCCCGGACCCA
This 72-nucleotide transfer RNA is filed under the name Candidatus Curtissbacteria bacterium RIFCSPHIGHO2_01_FULL_41_44. Its description in RNAcentral is "tRNA-Ile". It matches the Rfam family "tRNA". From Rfam's summary of the family: Transfer RNA (tRNA) molecules are approximately 80 nucleotides in length. Their secondary structure includes four short double-helical elements and three loops (D, anti-codon, and T loops). Further hydrogen bonds mediate the characteristic L-shaped molecular structure. tRNAs have two regions of fundamental functional importance: the anti-codon, which is responsible for specific mRNA codon recognition, and the 3' end, to which the tRNAs corresponding amino acid is attached (by aminoacyl-tRNA synthetases). tRNAs cope with the degeneracy of the genetic code in two manners: having more than one tRNA (with a specific anti-codon) for a particular amino acid; and 'wobble' base-pairing, i.e. permitting non-standard base-pairing at the 3rd anti-codon position. Lineage: Bacteria; Candidatus Curtissiibacteriota. The record is from RNAcentral. RNAcentral also lists the same sequence under 5 other names.